AGUUAAAAGAUUCCCAAUCAAUAUCAUUACUCAUACUGAAACUUACAAAGUCAUUUUUUUGAAGAUCGACGAAAUUUCCCGGUUUUGAUCAAAUUUUUUAAUCUACUUAAUUGACAUAGACCCCAGUUCUCUAAUAAAAUGAGGAUACUAAAUUGGGAAUAGCCGGGAUAGCUCAGUCGN
RNAcentral lists this transfer RNA (180 nucleotides) under Cestrum elegans. RNAcentral describes it as "partial transfer RNA-Phe(GAA)". The record is from RNAcentral. Lineage: Eukaryota; Viridiplantae; Streptophyta; Magnoliopsida; Solanales; Solanaceae.